RNAcentral lists this ribosomal RNA (243 nucleotides) under uncultured Actinomycetales bacterium. RNAcentral describes it as "partial 16S ribosomal RNA". It matches the Rfam family "Bacterial small subunit ribosomal RNA", at positions 88 to 334 of the family's 1533-position model. The record is from RNAcentral. Lineage: Bacteria; Bacillati; Actinomycetota; Actinomycetes; Actinomycetales.
UACUCGGGUGGCGAACGGGUGAGUAACACGUGGGUGAUCUGCACUGCACUUCGGGAUAAGCUUGGGAAACUGGGUCUAAUACCGGAUAGGACCGCACUUUAGUGUGUGUGGUGGAAAGUUUUUUCGGUGUAGGAUGAGCUCGCGGCCUAUCAGCUUGUUGGUGGGGUAAUGGCCUACCAAGGCGGCGACGGGUAGCCGGCCUGAGAGGGUGUACGGCCACAUUGGGACUGAGAUACGGCCCAG